RNAcentral lists this long non-coding RNA (1196 nucleotides) under Sinocyclocheilus anshuiensis. Its description in RNAcentral is "lncRNA (ENSSANG00000002364.1)". The record is from RNAcentral. Lineage: Eukaryota; Metazoa; Chordata; Actinopteri; Cypriniformes; Cyprinidae.
CGAGUUUCCACAACAUUGCGCAGCCUCUGGUAUUUGGUCUGUCUUGAUGUUUCUUGCAGUUGAAGAGCUCUCUGGGCUCUCUGCUGCAGACUGGAGACCGAGAAAUGGACCGUGAGCCGCUGGGCAGAGUGCCCUCUAGAGGUCUGGAGACUGUUCUAACUUUGACUCUAUAAAAGUUCACAAAGUCAGUGUGUGAUUUACCCUAAUAUCCUGUUAAGAUUGACUUCUUUGUCUAAAACUCUUCUCAGCCCCGUCUCCUCUCCCCAGUCGUUCCCGCUCCAGCUCUGUGGGCGAGUCUUUGGGUCUAGGUGGCAGCCGCUCAUUGAGGGCCAUUGUGUCCCAUCCCGCUUCAUCCAAUCCAGUCCUGCUGCCAUUUGCCCGUGGUGACAUGGUGACUGUGCUCAUACCAGAACCACGCAACGGUUGGCUGUACGGACGCCAUGACUCAAGCCUCCGUCAAGGCUGGUUUCCUGCUGCCUUUGUGACAUCUACUGAAGACAUUCUACCCUUGGGCUCAAGCACGUUGCACCGAAGCCACAGCAUGAACAACCUCCUGGAGCCAACCAGCCAAUCAGAAUAUUCAGACAACCAGGGCUACAGUGACAUCCCGUCCCCAGUGGUACCUAUGCGUCGCGCGUCGGCUGAUCUUCGCCCAAUCUCUCCCCUCCCUGAAAAGAAGGCGGAGUCUAACAACGAGGUCAAGACCAGCCAGAAAACCUACAAUGAGAUUCCGCCUCCAGCCGCACCGCUCCGUCGUGGAUCAGCUGAUAUUCGACCAAUAUCUCCCCUCCCUGACAGGAGGGCGGUGUCUCAUUUUGAGAGCAAAGUAGAGCACAAAAAUUAUAAUGAACUCCUACUUCCGGCUCCACCCCUUACAAACUCUCCUCUCCCUGAGCGAAAGACCGAAUCAACCUCUGAGAGGAUCAAAUCCUUUUGCCACAGUGAAGCUCCGUCCCACAGUCACCAAUGACAGAUCAGCACCACGGAUCCACAGACAGUCAUCGCAAAACAUCGCCUGCACUCUGACUGGUUCAGAGUCUGUACCAAAUGUCUCAAUUUGUUGAUAAGUGUACAAUUUAAGUCAACUUUAAUAUUAGAAUGAAAAGAGAUUUUUAAACUUAAUUUAAUGGCACUUUUUAAACUAACUUAGUAUUUAAUUUGAAUGGAUAUGUCCAGCUGUAUAACAUCACUCAGAG